This 306-nucleotide ribosomal RNA is filed under the name uncultured bacterium. RNAcentral's name for it is "partial 16S ribosomal RNA". It matches the Rfam family "Bacterial small subunit ribosomal RNA", at positions 507 to 807 of the family's 1533-position model. The record is from RNAcentral.
GACAGCAGUCGCCACGGUAAUACGAAGGGUGCAAGCGUUACUCGGAAUUACUGGGCGUAAAGCGUGCGUAGGUGGUGGUUUAAGUCCGUUGUGAAAGCCCUGGGCUCAACCUGGGAAUUGCAGUGGAUACUGGGUCACUAGAGUGUGGUAGAGGAUAGUGGAAUUUCCGGUGUAGCAGUGAAAUGCGUAGAGAUCGGAAGGAACAUCUGUGGCGAAGGCGACUAUCUGGGCCAACACUGACACUGAGGCACGAAAGCGUGGGGAGCAAACAGGAUUAGAUACCCCAGUAGUCCCUGUCUCUUAUAC